RNAcentral lists this ribosomal RNA (452 nucleotides) under uncultured bacterium. RNAcentral's name for it is "bacterial SSU rRNA". It matches the Rfam family "Bacterial small subunit ribosomal RNA", at positions 354 to 796 of the family's 1533-position model. The record is from RNAcentral.
GUCGGGAAUUUUGGGCAAUGGGGGAAACCCUGACCCAGCAACGCCGCGUGAGGGAUGAAGGCCUUCGGGUCGUAAACCUCUGUCAGGAGGGAAGAAGGUCCUCGGGGUGAACAAUCCCGGGGAAUUGACGGUACCUCCGAAGGAAGCGCCGGCUAACUCCGUGCCAGCAGCCGCGGUAAUACGGAGGGCGCAAGCGUUGUUCGGAAUCAUUGGGCGUAAAGCGCGUGUAGGCGGUCUGGUCAGUCGGGUGUGAAAGCCCGGAGCUCAACUCCGGAACUGCACUCGAUACUGCCAGGCUAGAGUCCCGGAGAGGGUGGUGGAAUUCCCGGUGUAGAGGUGAAAUUCGUAGAUAUCGGGAGGAACACCAGUGGCGAAGGCGGCCACCUGGACGGUGACUGACGCUGAGACGCGAAAGCGUGGGGAGCAAACAGGAUUAGAUACCCUAGUAGUCC